RNAcentral lists this ribosomal RNA (447 nucleotides) under uncultured bacterium. RNAcentral's name for it is "bacterial SSU rRNA". It matches the Rfam family "Bacterial small subunit ribosomal RNA", at positions 355 to 825 of the family's 1533-position model. The record is from RNAcentral.
UGGGGAAUAUUGGACAAUGGGCGCAAGCCUGAUCCAGCGACGCCGCGUGAGUGACGAAGGCCUUAGGGUUGUAAAACUCUUUCGUCGGGGACGAUAAUGACGGUACCCGAAGAAGAAGCUCCGGCUAACUUCGUGCCAGCAGCCGCGGUAAUACGAAGGGAGCUAGCGUUGUUCGGAAUCACUGGGCGUAAAGCGCACGUAGGCGGAUAGUUAAGUCAGGGGUGAAAUCCUGGGGCUCAACCCCAGAACUGCCUUUGAUACUGGCUGUCUCGAGGUCGAGAGAGGUUGGUGGAAUUCCUAGUGUAGAGGUGAAAUUCGUAGAUAUUAGGAAGAACACCAGUGGCGAAGGCGGCCAACUGGCUCGAUACUGACGCUGAGGUGCGAAAGCGUGGGGAGCAAACAGGAUUAGAUACCCCAGUAGUCCCUGAGCGGGCUGGCAAGGCGCAU